RNAcentral lists this transfer RNA (66 nucleotides) under Brachidontes mutabilis. RNAcentral's name for it is "tRNA-Leu". Lineage: Eukaryota; Metazoa; Mollusca; Bivalvia; Mytilida; Mytilidae. RNAcentral also lists the same sequence under 1 other name. The record is from RNAcentral.
AGUGGUAUGACAGAUAAAUGUGAUAGAUUUAAGCUUUAUUUAUGAGGUUUUACCCCUCUGCCGCAU